This 1277-nucleotide ribosomal RNA is filed under the name uncultured fungus. Its description in RNAcentral is "eukaryotic LSU rRNA". The stretch from base 611 to 1277 matches the Rfam family "Eukaryotic large subunit ribosomal RNA", at positions 1 to 649 of the family's 3401-position model. The record is from RNAcentral. Lineage: Eukaryota; Fungi.
AAGUCGUAACAAGGUUUCCGUAGGUGAACCUGCGGAAGGAUCAUUAAUGAAUUAAAGUCGGUCUUCUGUGCUGGUGGUGACACAUGUGCACGUUGAUCGCAAAUCCACACACCUGUGCACCUUUGACUUUAGGAUCCGCUUGUUGGCUUGUCUGACUUGCAGCUGAUGUUGGUUUUGUGCUCAUCUGGAUCUUAGAGUAAUUUUACACACUCUGAAUGUAAUGGAAUGUUCCUGUGCAUAAUGCGCAAAAUACAACUUUCAACAACGGAUCUCUUGGCUCUCGCAUCGAUGAAGAACGCAGCGAAAUGUGAUAAGUAAUGUGAAUUGCAGAAUUCAGUGAAUCAUCGAAUCUUUGAACGCACCUUGCACCCUUUGGUAUUCCAAAGGGUACACCCGUUUGAGUGUCAUUGUAAUCUCACUUCAUCAGCUUUUGUUGGAGGUGGACUUGGACUCUGUUGUGUCAUUACAACUGGUCUGAAAUGUGUGAGUGCACCCUGCUGUUGCAGCGUCCUCAGUGUGAUAAGCAUCUUCACUGAAUCAAGUUCCUUUGGGACACGUGUGUAAUGNGGGCUCUGUGCUGGCAAACUGUCUUUGGACAAUCUUGACAAUUUGACCUCAGAUCGAGUGGGACUACCCGCUGAACUUAAGCAUAUCAAUAAGCGGAGGAAAAGAAACUAACAAGGAUUCCCCUAGUAACGGCGAGUGAAGAGGGAAAAGCUCAAAUUUUGANUCUGGUGCCUUUGGCAUCCGAGUUGUAAUCUAGAGAAGUGUUUUCUGCCUUGGACCACACAUAAAUUCCCUGGAAUGGGGUGUCAUAGAGGGUGAGAAUCCCGUUUGUGGUGUGGACUACCUUGGCUCUGUGAUACACUCUCAACGAGUCGAGUUGUUUGGGAAUGCAGCUCAAAAUGGGUGGUAAAUUCCAUCUAAAGCUAAAUAUUGGCGAGAGACCGAUAGCGAACAAGUACCGUGAGGGAAAGAUGAAAAGCACUUUGGAAAGAGAGUGAAACAGUACGUGAAAUUGUUGAAAGGGAAGCGUUUGAAGUCAGUCACAUUGGUCAGAAUUCAGCCUGGCUUAUGCCUGGUGUACUUUCUGGCAAAUGGGUCAGCGUCAAUUUUGACCGAGGGAGAAAGACUUGAGGAAGGUGGCUGUCUUUGGGCAGUGUUAUAGCCUCUUGUUGUAAUGCUCGGUUGGGAUUGAGGAUCGCAGCACGCCUUAUGGCCGGGGUUCGCGCCCUCGGUACGUGCUUAGGAUGCUGGCAUAAUGGCUUUAAGCGACC